This is a non-coding RNA of Cinara cedri, 217 nucleotides long. The record is from the annotation of a GenBank genome assembly. Lineage: Eukaryota; Metazoa; Arthropoda; Insecta; Hemiptera; Aphididae.
UAAAUUAUAAAAAAAAACCGAACAGCUAGCCGUUUUAUAUAAAAUCAAGAACUAGGGAAAUCACACGAUAAAUAAUAAUAAUAUUAUGAUUUUCUUAUGUUUCUGAUUGGCUUUAACUAUAAGACGAUACCGCUUAACACAAAACCUGUCACAUAUCCGUGCAUUCUCUACAAUUUCUCUCUGUCGGGUUUCCGACUGCACUGCCUUGACAUCCACC